RNAcentral lists this ribosomal RNA (1284 nucleotides) under Pherusa bengalensis. RNAcentral describes it as "16S ribosomal RNA". The stretch from base 849 to 1191 matches the Rfam family "Bacterial large subunit ribosomal RNA", at positions 2071 to 2649 of the family's 2925-position model. Lineage: Eukaryota; Metazoa; Annelida; Polychaeta; Terebellida; Flabelligeridae. The record is from RNAcentral.
UAUAUUACUUGCUCAACUACUAAUAUUAAAUAACAUAUAAAAUAAAAUCUAAUAAACAAACAAAGCUCAACAAACCCCUUAUCAUUUAAAACUUGUAAAAUAAUAACUAAAUAAAUAAAAAGAAAGAAUAAAUCUCUGUACCUUUUGCAUCAUGGUUUAACUAUUUCAACACUAAUGUAACUUUCCCGAACUCGAAGUAAGCUGGAAUAUAUCCGCUAAGCGCUCAUAGCCGACUGUGGCACUAGUCCCUAAAGAAUAUAUUUCAGAGGCUACAUACCACGCACUCGAAUAUAGCUGGUUGUUUGCAAAACUAUUUAAGUAGAAUAAAGAGAACAAAUAAAGAUUAACUGAAUCUCUUAUAUUAAUUAAUAGGGGAUAAGCUCUAUUAAAAAAUCAAUUUUAAAACUACAUUAUUAAACUAGUAGGCCUAACAUUAGCCAUCAAAUAAAAGAUUUUUACAAAUAACAAAAAAAAAAAAAAAUAUUAAUUUAAAAAAAAAUGAUACUAAUAGCAAACUACUCUCUAAAACAUUAAGAGAAAAAAUUAUGUUAAAAUAAGUAUUUCAUUAACUAAUAAUAUUCAAUCUCAAUACUCAAUUUCCAUAGAAAGAACUCGGCAAAUCUCCGCUCCGACUGUUUAACAAAAACAUUGCCUCUUGACGACAACCACAAUAAGAGGUACAUCCUGCCCAGUGAAAUAAUUUUUAAACGGCCGCGGUACCCUAACCGUGCUAAGGUAGCAUAAUCAUUUGCCUCCUAAUUAGAGGCUAGUAUGAAUGGACAAACGAGGGCUAAGCUGUUUCCUAUGGAGAAAUAAAAGUUUAUCUCUGGGUGAAAAAGCCCAGAUAAUAUUAAAAGACAAAAAGACCCUGCAGAGCUUUAUACUAAAAAAUAUCUUCAAUUAAUAUGUAUUUUGUUGGGGCGACAAAGGAUUAAAAAAAACAUCCUUAAUACCUAUGGACAACACUCCUCUCACAAGAUCCUUAUUUAAGAUCAAAGACAAAAGCUACCUCAGGGAUAACAGGCUUAUCUUUCUCGAGAGCUCAUAUCGACAGAAAGCUUUGGCACCUCGAUGUUGGCUUAGGGUCCCUGAUGGUGCAGCAGCCAUCAAUGGUAGGUUUGUUCAACCUUUAAAACCCUACAUGAGCUGAGUUCAGACCGGCGCAAGCCAGGUCAGAUUCUAUCUUUAAUACAAACUGUAGAUCGGUAGUACGAAAGGAUCCUGAUUCUAUAAAUAAUUUACUACUAAAGAAACCAUAUAAUUCACUUAUUAAAUAUUAUAAUU